RNAcentral lists this small nucleolar RNA (67 nucleotides) under Monopterus albus (swamp eel). The record is from RNAcentral. Lineage: Eukaryota; Metazoa; Chordata; Actinopteri; Synbranchiformes; Synbranchidae.
CUGGAAGUGAUGUAUAAAAAUGUCUGAGUACCCAUGAAGGUUUUUGUAUUCAUACUGUCUGAUCCAG